CUGAAAAGCCGACCUACAUGCGGAGACAGGCGGGAGGGGCUUAUGGGAGAAGUCUGUUGGAGCUUGUUCAUGCUGAGAGGUUGGGGGUGUGAUUUGAGGUGCGGAAGACGUACUUAAAACCUGGGAGUCCAGAACAGGAGAGGCGCUCUCAGAUCAGCCCCAGUGUUCUGCAGCGCGCAGGAGCCAGUCGUGCUGCAAAGAAUGAAACUGGACUUGUCCAGGCGAGUUUUGGACAGUGCUGGGCUGCCCUGCUCUGAUUUCCCGGGUGUCUUCACCUACUCUGACUCCAAAAUCGGCUGCUGCACCAGCACCCAUCAAACUCUCCUGUAACGGGAAGUGACAGCUCACCGGUAGCCCGGAAGACCCCUGUGGGCAGAAGCAUGGACUUCCUCUUCCUCACGGAGAUGCGGCUGAAGCAGAUUUCCUUGGCACCACUCUGGAACUUUCCACAGUCACCACCUCAGACACUAGCCAGACUUUAGGUCCUUUCCUUUCAUGUCUAAAAUGAGACAGUUCACAAUGUUGAUUUUAUUUGUAGGGGGUGUCAGGAUUCCAGAAAAGCAGACUUGGAAAGCAACAAAAUGUUAGCGUGCAGCUCACUGAGGCCCUUACACUUGGUCUGGGCACCUCUGUAUGUAAAAAGAAGUCCAAUAUCUUUGCUGGUUGUAGGUGGCCAUAUGUUUCAGCACAGAAAUCGGGCUCCCCUUGCUAGACUAAUUUUUCCUCAGGCUUCAUUCAUUCAUAUUCUUCUGCUUGAUCCUAUCAGGACCAACAGUACCAAAUAACACCAAGUCUCUUGCCUCGUGUCCUCAGAAUGUCUCAGAGGCAUCCGCUUCCCUGCUGGAGCCAUUUCAUUUCAGUGAUCCUUAAUUAAAUUCAGCGAGAUGCAGGA
Long non-coding RNA from Chlorocebus sabaeus (green monkey), 892 nucleotides. RefSeq lists it as uncharacterized. The record is from RefSeq and is a predicted model, not a curated record. Lineage: Eukaryota; Metazoa; Chordata; Mammalia; Primates; Cercopithecidae.